Felis catus (domestic cat) is the source of this 3746-nucleotide long non-coding RNA. RefSeq lists it as uncharacterized. The transcript is spliced from 2 exons. NCBI's taxonomy places the organism in Eukaryota, Metazoa, Chordata, Mammalia, Carnivora, Felidae. The record is from RefSeq and is a predicted model, not a curated record.
UACAAAGCUGUAAUCAUCAAAACACAGUAUGGUACUGGCACAAAAACAGACACUCAGAUCAAUGGGACAGAAUAGAGUACGGUAGGGUCCCUUCCCUCAGGAAAGAAAAAAACCUCAAGGUAACCUGGCUAUAUGCGUAUGUGACAACAUCCCUCACAAUCUUGUAACAUGAGACCACUUAAUCAGACUACAUGUUUGUGUGUUACCAUAUAUGGGAGACAAGGAAGCAAAAAAUAUAUAAAAACCCACAGCAUGUGGCAUUCGGGGCUCAGUUCUUUGGGAACCCAACUGAGUGGUGCUGGCAGGAAUAAAGUUGCUUCCUGGAAAGAAAAGCCUUGGUGUCACGACUCUGUGCGAGAAUCCUGCUACAUUACUUGGGGGCUUGUCCAGGAUUCAGAGACAGUUCAUUUCCUCCUGCUUUGCCACCAGGGAUAUGAACCUCGGAAUGCCGGGAGAGGCAGCCUUGCCUGGUGCCAGCAGACCGCUUGAUCUGCAGGAGACUAGCCCUCCCAGCAUGCCGGGGCGAGGACCCCGUGUGCCCCAAUGGAACUUGUGAGGCCCAGACACCAGCUCAGGGAGUGCCACCCGGCAGACUGGUAAGAACCUGGGUUCGUUUUGGCACACCUGCCCCCAAGAGGCAGAAGGGGGGGCCUGAUCACCUCCCAGAAUUGCCCUAGUAGUUCCACAAGGGGUGAGGAACGAAGCUGCAACUCUAAGGCACUGGGUAGCAGAUUGUGGAGUCGCCGUGUGACUGUGUGUGGGGACUUGUCUCUCAUUCAUUUCCUGGGUUAAUGACUAUGAUAAUUAGAGCCAACCGUCUCUGGUUAUUCUACCUCAGAACAGGGACUUUAAGGAAUAUUCCCAAGCAGCUGCCGAAACUCCUUUUGUUUCAGGGAAAUUCCCUGUCUUCUCCAGACUGACACGGACUGCCCAAUUCCACUGGUGGAAAACAAAACAACAAAACAAAACAAAACAAAACAAAACAAAACAAAACAAACCUGGAGUCUGCUCCUCUGUCUGAGCUGACAAGAGUUAAAACUGGGAAUUCUCUUUCUCUGCCUUUUGCUGGCACCUCUCCUCUUCUGCCUUCCCUCCCCCGCCUUCUUUUCUGUACCACUUUGGAGGUGGCCUGCAUAACUGGCUCCUCAAUGCCUCAGGCACCAUCGGCUCCUCCUCCCACCCUAGAGGUUGUGGAGUAAAGACCACCCACUUCAGAUUUCCCCACUGGUGCCCCAGAUACAAAUAGACAAGGGGGAACAAAUUGAUUAACUUUUAAAUGGACACAGAUGGAACACAUUUGGUAUUUAAACGGAUUUAAGUUUUUUGGUUUAAAAUAGACAUGUCUUUAGAGUUAUCAGCAUUAAACAUAUAAAACUGUUUUCUAAAGGUCAAAUAAGCUCUUUUAUCUCUGUUGCAAUUUGUCAGCAAAAAGGUGACUUAAAAUGAUGGUUAAUUUUGUCUGUCUCAAAGCUUUCGUGGGUAAUUGUUAAGAUAGCUUUCAAAGUCUUUGGUAACCUAAAACGUUAAAGUUUGGCUUGCAUGAUAAAUUGAGAUUGAAUUCAUUGGAUAUCUAAAGAGAUAAGAGGCUAAAGCACUAAUCACUAGAUGUAGGUUUGUGCUUCUGACUUGUUGCAGAGAAACUCCAGACAUUUGGAUCUAUGGGAAAACAUGCUUUAUCCUUAAUGGAUUCAUAAUUUUGCCAUCUAAAAACAUUCAGAUAUAACAUAAAGUUCACAAUUGGUUACUACUUAGUUUUCACUGGAGACUAAGGUUUCUAAGAGGUAAAAUUCUACUAAAUGUAGUUAAAACUAAUAAAAAUAAGACAAGCAACUCUGUAUGUAGAAAAGUAGGAGAUAUGAAAGAAAGAUAUAAGAAAUGGAAAUAUAUUUUUGUUGAAGGUAAAAGAAAGUAAUUUUGUUCUAAAUGGGACUGGUUAUUUGGAGGAAAAUGGCUUGGACAAAAUCUAAAUGUAAAGAAAAGUUGCAGUAAGUUCAUGAAGGAAAAUCUUUAAAAAGAAAUUUUAUGUGUGGUCAGGAUGGACUAAGGUUAAAAUAAAUGGAUUUUAAAAGUACAUUGGGUUAAGAUUAAAUUCCUCCUCUUUUGACCCAAAGGCCGAGAAAAUGAUAGCAAUACCCUUGGUGCCAGCCUCCAAAUCCUCCACAUUUCUGUUGUUCCUGUUCAGCAGAGGACUGGAUGCCUCUGCCGUAUGAGGGAUGGGUGAUGAAGGGCUUUUACUAAGCAGUAAAGGUAGAUGAAGUGGGUCCUUGGAUUCACCACAAGCAGAAUGAAGCCAGCAUCUCAAAACUGGGAGUGCAUUCCUAAUCCACCAAUGCUAUGCAAGCUGACCAUAUGAAAAAAGCAAUCCGCAAUUCCAGAGGCUCCAAGAGACUACAACCCUGCUUUAGUCACUCCAGAAGCUGACUAAUGUAGGCAUGGCAGAAGCUUGAGGAAUCGAUGGUCCGAUGAAACAAAAGACUGUCCUUAUUUUCUAUGUUUCCGUACUGUGAUGCACUGUCAUGCCUUGUUUCUCACUAUUAUUGUGAUUCUUGCUCUACUCUUUGCCAUAGGAUUGUCCAAGGCCACCCCAGCCAGCUGGAAAUGUGAGAGGUUUCGGUUAAUACUCACCUUCCUUUUGUGGAUAGGAUACUUCAUUGGUACCAACAUGGGGAAACAAUGGCCAUAAGAGACUAAAAAAUUAGAUUCCCACAAACUUUAUAGUAAAACAACAUACCCCAGUCCUACUACCAGGGUUUGGCUCUCAAAAGCUCAAUUACUGGGAAAAACUAUCUUGCCUAGUGGGGAAAAAGUUCAUCAUCGUCUCUGUUAAAAACUUAACAUGCCUAGGCCAAAGAUUUUAUAACUCAACUGCCCAGAAAACCCAAUGGUGGGGGACCCCAGAUCACCUUGAGCCAGAUCAGAUCCCCACCCCUUGUUUAACUUCUCUCACCUCUGAUAGGUCUGAGACAAUAUCAACGCAGCCAUCAAAUGGCAGGCCCCAGGUGGACUAUACUAGAUAUGUGGAAAGACAGCCUAUAUAGUACUUCCCUCAGUCUGGUCAGGGUCAUAUGUGCUGAAAACUAUUCAUCCAUCUUUCUUCCUGUUUCCACUUGACAGAAACAUUUGAGAGUUCAAAUGUAUAGGGACAGGAGACUCAAAGGAAGAAGCGUGCCUUACAAACUGGCAAUUAAAAAGAUGAUAAAUGGCCUCCCAAGUGUAUAAUCCAUUAUUAUAGCCCUGCCACCUGGCCAGAAGAUGGGUCUUAGGGCUACCGCACUCCCAUUUACAUGCAAAUAAACCACAUAAUGAGACUAUAAGCAGUUAUAAAAAUUAUAACCAAUAAAACUGCCAGAGCUCUUAACCUACUAGCCAAGCAACAAACCAAAAUGUGCCAUGCUAUCUAUCAAAAUCGCUUGGCCUUAGAUUACCUACUUAUUUCUGAGGGAAAAGUUUGUAAAAAGUUUAACCUAAGCAACUGCUGCCUACAGAUAGAUAAUGAGAAAAAAAGUCAUAGAAGAAAUCACAAGUCAAAUAAAAAGGACUGCUCAUGUCCCUGUCCAGACCUGUAACAGUUAAAACCCCGGGGAGUUAUUUGGAGGAUGGUUUUCAACUUUCAGGGGAUUCAAAAGUCUCAUAAAAAUUAUCCUCCUAGUUCUGGGAGGUUGCUUAAUCCUCCUACCUUGCUUGGGUCCCCUGGUCUGCCUCCAGUCUCACUGAGGCCAUAAUUAAAAAAAAAAAAAAAAAAAAAA